CCUGGGCAGUGGAAGGUGACGAGGACUCCAAAGGUUGGGCUGAGAGGUGGGAGACUUUGAGAUGCCCUCGCCCCGCUGAUACUCAAGAAGAAGAAACUGAGGCACAGAGCAGUUAAGUAACUUGAUCAAGGCCACUGCUGGUAAGUUGACAGAAACAGGACUGAAAUGCCAGGUCUGUCUGGCACCAGUUCUCUUUCAUGUCCUUCAGAUUCUAUGGGAUUUAAAACUCCUGUAAACAUACCUAAUCUUUUCUCUGUAUCAUUCUCCCCAACCCAUCUCCACUUAGACUGUGAUGGACUGAAGGGCUUCAUGUACAAUAGGAAACAAUAACAGAUCUAGGAAAGUUUUCCUGUUGGGGUAGAAACCACAUGAUCAAUCAAAAAUGCUAGUUCAGUGAUUUUUUUUUUUUAAACUUUCUUUAGGUCAUGGUCCCCUUUGCGAUACUAAUAAGGCAAAGGACCAUCUCCCUGGAGAAAUGCACAUACAUUUUUGCAUAAACUUUUCAAAGGAGUCACAAGUUCCACCUCUCUCUCCGGUCUCAUCAACUGUCUGUCCAAAGGUCCACAGACACCCUCCUUGCCCCCAAUAUAUACAUUCUGUUAACAGGGCCUAAAAAAAUUAGCUUAUAGUCAGAUUUGAUGAGCUCUCUAGUGGUCUGGGGAAUAGGAGUGGUUCAACAGCAAUAAAGGGGCUAUUUUCCAAAUUGGGUUAUCUCACUAUUAAAGCAAAAAUUAAAGGGAAUAAGGAAGCACCAAGAUGCAGGGGAGAGUGUGUUUCUGAUUCAAUAAAACAUCACUGGGUGCCCUUUCUUCCAAAUUUCUACUAUCUGACAGACAAAAGAAAAAAAAAAAAGAAGCAACACUCCAAUACACUUUUCUUUUUUUUUCCUUUUUUACUUACAUUAAAUAUAUUGGUAAAUCAGCAGUCGCAUUCUGUUACCACGAUUGUUAUGUUGGAAGAGGAAGAAAGGGGAAAAAAGGCAAAUGCUUUCUUAGAAGAAAAAAAAGAGGGACCUCUCCCCCCUCCCAAAAAAAAACUGAUCAGAAGAAAAAAACAUGAGGAGCUAGGAAAUAAAAACUUAGAUCCCCAAGCUCAAAGGAAAGCAAAAGAGCUGGUAGGCAGUAGAAGGAAGGCAGCAGAAAGGCCCAGAAGCUAAGGCCAUUCCUAUUCCUAAGGGGCAGGAGAGGGGAGAAGAAGCCUGGAGAAAUGGUUUCCCAGCCCCAAGGCAAUGAAACAUCCUCACUCCUACUCCACAGGGAAAGCUGCACAGAGAAAGAACUUCAUUUCUAAGAGACUUAAGAGAGCCAUCCUAGUUCUUCCACUUGUAAGGACACACUGGGUGCUGUUGGGGGCUAGUGGGUGCUGGAAAAGGAAAGGGAAACUGUGUGUUUCAGGGCCAUGGGAACUAAGGCUGCCCCUGGGAAAGGAAGGGAAUUGAGGCCUAAGUGGAAAAACCUAAACUGGGUCCUUCAGAAUCUCAGCUUCAUGGAUUUCUCAGCUCCUCUGGGACAGAAAAAAGUCUACAAGCCAAAAGGGCAGAAAGGUUCCAAUCCUAGGUCACUGAGGCCUUUCCUAUCUUACUUUCACUAAUUUUCCCAAAACCCUAGGCUAGAACAAGGAGUUUAGAGUUCUCUCUUGCCUUGAUGGCUUCCCAAAGACAUCCUAAAAUACCUGAUGAGGGAUGUGAAGAGAGGCUAGAGAUUUAGAAAGGACCAAUGGCCUCUGAUGAUAUGAGACAGUUGUGAGGGACCUUCAGUGCCAGUUUGUUCUCUGUCCACAGGAACAGGUAUUAUGAUAUGAGGGGGCCACAAGUAGGUCUCUGUGGUGCUAGCCCCUAGUGGUAUGUGGGUUAAACCACUGGUUGCAUGGGGGAUUGAUACAGGGACAAGUAUGGAGGGACUAAACUAAAGAUACUAACAAAGGAGAAAAGAAAUAGGGCCUGAUGGGAGGUGGGGGACAGAACAGACUGUACAGUGGGAAUAAAGAUCUUACCUAUUUACAGGGAAGUAGAAAAGACAUGGUAAUGGGUGGAUCACAUUGAACAUGAACUCUGGGAAAGGAGAGAAAACUCCUCCCUUUUGCCUGACUCCUCUUCACCCCCUACCAUGACCUGUUGCUGAGACUGCUCUCCAGUUGCUUCAGUUAAUUUCGCAGGAAAGGCAAACCUAUACCCAGAGCUAGAUUGGCAAGAAUAUAGGUUAAGAAUCAGAGUUGGAUGAAGCUAGCAGUGGAGAUUGGGCUUGAGUAGCUGCCACUGGUAGUUUUCUACAGUCUCUCCCAAAACCUCAUAUACACCUUGGAUUCCAUUUAAUUAUAAAGGUGAGAGGGCAGGUAAAUCAAUCAAAACCCCCAUAAAACAAGUAUCCCAACUGAACUACCAUCAAUUAAAGUGCAAACUGCAGGGGGAAAUAGUGGCUGGGGCUGAGGCCAUCCAAAGGCCAGAGAGAAAAAAAAAAUGCAUGUGUAUAAAUCAGAGGAUGGGUAUAAGAAACUGGUCCCUCCUCCAAUUAGAUCACAGCACAGCCAAAGAUGCAGGCAACCAGUGAAGACUCUCUGGAGGAUUCUGGGGUCUGGAGUCUCCCCCAUACGGGGGCGGGGAAGCUACCGAGAGAGGCUGAGUGAGGGAAGCUAGGCCUUGGAAGGGUUCCAGGGCCACAGAAGACACUGCUUUCCUCUUCCACCUCCUCCUCCGCCCAGUUAGCUAACAACAUGACUCCCACUUGGUGCCUGAGAGCUUUUGCCUUCCCAUUCUCACUCCACCUAGAAACACCCUCCACAAGACCAACUCAUGGAUACUGCAGUGUUUUUAAAUAUGAGAAAACCAAAAAGGAAAUGUUUCCUUACUCUCUCCUGCUCUGAGCCUUACUCUUCCCCAGGGCCCUUAUUGGGACUGAACUGGAAACCUCCUUCCUCAGUUCCUGGGUUCACCACUUUCUCCAUCCUGGGGAGAGGAGGAAAAAGGAGAUCAAGAACAGGGAUUGACCAAAAGCAGAAGGGGAAGGGCUGAAGACAAAAAAAAAAAAA
Hipposideros armiger (great roundleaf bat) is the source of this 3024-nucleotide long non-coding RNA. RefSeq lists it as uncharacterized. The transcript is spliced from 2 exons. The record is from RefSeq and is a predicted model, not a curated record. NCBI's taxonomy places the organism in Eukaryota, Metazoa, Chordata, Mammalia, Chiroptera, Hipposideridae.